Molecule: ribosomal RNA, 442 nt
Filed under: uncultured bacterium
Lineage: Bacteria
Description: partial 16S ribosomal RNA
Rfam family: Bacterial small subunit ribosomal RNA
Source: RNAcentral
CCUACGGGUGGCUGCAGUGGGGAAUCAUGGGCAAUGGACGCAAGUCUGACCCAGCAACGCCGCGUGAAGGAAGAAGGCUUUCGGGUUGUAAACUCCUUGUAAGGGGGAAGAGAAGAAGACGGUACCCAUUGAAUAAGCCACGGAUAACUACGUGCCAGCAGCCGCGGUAAUACGUAGGUGGCAAGCGUUGUUCGGAUGUACUGGGUGUAAAGGGCGCGCAGCCGGUGAGUCAAGUCAGGUGUGAAAGCCACGGGCUCAACCCGUGAACUGCAUUUGAAACUGUGUCCCUAGAGUGUCGGAGGGGUAAUCGGAAUUCCUGGUGUAGCGGUGAAAUGCGUAGAUAUAAGGAGGAACACCAGUGGCGAAGGCGGGUUCCUGGACGAUAACUGACGGUGAGGCGCGAAGGCGUGGGGAGCAAACGGGAUUAGAUACCCGGGUAGUC